GCAAGUCGAGCGGUAAGGCCCUUCGGGUACACGAGCGGCGAACGGGUGAGUAACACGUGGGUGAUCUGCCUUGCACUCUGGGAUAAGCCUGGGAAACUGGGUCUAAUACCGGAUAUGACCUGCAGUUGCAUGACUGUGGGUGGAAAGAUUUAUCGGUGCGAGAUGAGCCCGCGGCCUAUCAGCUUGUUGGUGGGGUAAUGGCCUACCAAGGCGACGACGGGUAGCCGGCCUGAGAGGGCGACCGGCCACACUGGGACUGAGACACGGCCCAGACUCCUACGGGAGGCAGCAGUGGGGAAUAUUGCACAAUGGGCGGAAGCCUGAUGCAGCGACGCCGCGUGAGGGAUGACGGCCUUCGGGUUGUAAACCUCUUUCGACUCCGACGAAGCGAAAGUGACGGUAGGAGUAUAAGAAGCACCGGCCAACUACGUGCCAGCAGCCGCGGUAAUACGUAGGGUGCGAGCGUUGUCCGGAAUUACUGGGCGUAAAGAGCUUGUAGGCGGCUUGUCGCGUCGAUCGUGAAAAUGNCGGGCUCAACCCCGAGCUUGCGGUCGAUACGGGCAGGCUUGAGUACUUCAGGGGAGACUGGAAUUCCUGGUGUAGCGGUGAAAUGCGCAGAUAUCAGGAGGAACACCGGUGGCGAAGGCGGGUCUCUGGGAAGUAACUGACGCUGAGAAGCGAAAGCGUGGGUAGCGAACAGGAUUAGAUACCCUGGUAGUCCACGCCGUAAACGGUGGGUACUAGGUGUGGGUUUCCUUCCACGGGAUCCGUGCCGUAGCUAACGCAUUAAGUACCCCGCCUGGGGAGUACGGCCGCAAGGCUAAAACUCAAAGGAAUUGACGGGGGCCNGCACAAGCGGCGGAGCAUGUGGAUUAAUUCGAUGCAACGCGAAGAACCUUACCUGGGUUUGACAUACACCGGAAACCUGCAGAGAUGUAGGCCCCCUUGUGGUCGGUGUACAGGUGGUGCAUGGCUGUCGUCAGCUCGUGUCGUGAGAUGUUGGGUUAAGUCCCGCAACGAGCGCAACCCUUAUCUUAUGUUGCCAGCGCGUAAUGGCGGGGACUCGUGAGAGACUGCCGGGGUCAACUCGGAGGAAGGUGGGGACGACGUCAAGUCAUCAUGCCCCUUAUGUCCAGGGCUUCACACAUGCUACAAUGGCCGGUACAGAGGGCUGCGAUACCGUGAGGUGGAGCGAAUCCCUUAAAGCCGGUCUCAGUUCGGAUCGGGGUCUGCAACUCGACCCCGUGAAGUUGGAGUCGCUAGUAAUCGCAGAUCAGCAACGCUGCGGUGAAUACGUUCCCGGGCCUUGUACACACCGCCCGUCACGUCAUGAAAGUCGGUAACACCCGAAGCCGGUGGCCUAACCC
RNAcentral lists this ribosomal RNA (1367 nucleotides) under Nocardia carnea. RNAcentral describes it as "bacterial SSU rRNA". It matches the Rfam family "Bacterial small subunit ribosomal RNA". Lineage: Bacteria; Bacillati; Actinomycetota; Actinomycetes; Mycobacteriales; Nocardiaceae. The record is from RNAcentral.